RNAcentral lists this ribosomal RNA (478 nucleotides) under uncultured bacterium. RNAcentral's name for it is "partial 16S ribosomal RNA". It matches the Rfam family "Bacterial small subunit ribosomal RNA", at positions 28 to 523 of the family's 1533-position model. The record is from RNAcentral.
GACGAACGCUGGCGGCGUGCUUAACACAUGCAAGUCGAACGGUAAGGCCCUUCGGGGUACACGAGUGGCGAACGGGUGAGUAACACGUGGGUGAUCUGCCCUGCACUUCGGGAUAAGCCUGGGAAACUGGGUCUAAUACCGGAUAGGACCACUGCCUGCAUGGGUGGUGGUAGAAAGCUUUUGCGGGGUGGGAUGGGCCCGCGGCCUAUCAGCUUGUUGGUGGGGUGAUGGCCUACCAAGGCGACGACGGGUAGCCGGCCUGAGAGGGUGACCGGCCACACUGGGACUGAGAUACGGCCCAGACUCCUACGGGAGGCAGCAGUGGGGAAUAUUGCACAAUGGGCGUAAGCCUGAUGCAGCGACGCCGCGUGAGGGAUGACGGCCUUCGGGUUGUAAACCUCUUUCAGCACCGACGAAGCGCAAGUGACGGUAGGUGCAGAAGAAGGACCGGCCAACUACGUGCCAGCCGCCGCGGUAA